CGCUGAACUUAAGCAUAUCAAUAAGCGGAGGAAAAGAAACUAACAAGGAUUCCCCUAGUAACUGCGAGUGAAGCGGGAAGAGCUCAAAUUUGAAAUCUGGCGGCUCCGUCGUCCGAGUUGUAACCUGGAGAAGCGUUUUCCGUGCCGGACCGUGUACAAGUCCCUUGGAACAGGGCGUCGUAGAGGGUGAGAAUCCCGUCUUUGACACGGACUCCCGGUGCUCUGUGAUGCGCUCUCGAAGAGUCGAGUUGUUUGGGAAUGCAGCUCAAAAUGGGUGGUAAAUUCCAUCUAAAGCUAAAUAUUGGCGAGAGACCGAUAGCGAACAAGUACCGUGAGGGAAAGAUGAAAAGCACUUUGGAAAGAGAGUAAAACAGUACGUGAAAUUGUUGAAAGGGAAACGCUUGAAGUCAGUCGCGUCUGCCGGGACUCAGCUCCGCUCCGCGGGGUGCACUUCCCGGCCGACGGGUCAGCAUCGGUUUUGGGGGACGGACAAAGGCGGGAGGAAGGUGGCAGCUCCGGCUGUGUUAUAGCCUCCCGUUGUACGCGCCCUCCGGGACCGAGGAAUCCGGCGCUCGCCGCCUGGGAUGCUGGCGUAAUGGCUUUAAGCGACCCGUCUUGAAACACGGACCAAGGAGUGCUACACGCUCGCGAGUGUUUGGGUGGAAAACCCGGACGCGAAAUGAAAGUGAAAGUCGAGACCCUUUGCGGGGGCACCGACGCCCGAGCCUGACGUUUUCUGAAGGCCUUGCGGUAGAGCGAGCGCGUUGCGACCCGAAAGAUGGUGAACUAUUCCUGAGGAGGGCGAAGCCAGAGGAAACUCUGGUGGAGGCUCGUAGCGGUUCUGACGUGCAAAUCGAUCGCAGGACUUGGGUAUAGGGGCGAAAGACUAAUCGAACCAUCUAGUAGCUGGUUCCUGCCGAAGUUUCCC
This 928-nucleotide ribosomal RNA is filed under the name Kneiffiella barba-jovis. RNAcentral's name for it is "partial 25S ribosomal RNA". It matches the Rfam family "Eukaryotic large subunit ribosomal RNA", at positions 26 to 972 of the family's 3401-position model. The record is from RNAcentral. Lineage: Eukaryota; Fungi; Basidiomycota; Agaricomycetes; Hymenochaetales.